AAAGUAAAGAGAAAUUGGGAAGCUUCAGCUGAUGAAAUGAUAGCCACAAGCUCUUCUUUUAGAGGAUAAAGACAACACAAAAGACCAAUGUGAAGAUAGUCACAGCUUUUACAUUGAUAUUUGCCUCAGAGGAUGAAGUAGAAAGUUGUAAUGAAAAGCUUGACAGAAUCCUACAAGCCAAUACACAUUUUAACUGUUUUAUUUUAUACUGAUUCUGUUUAGAGAAUGAAUCUUUAAAGACUCUUUUCCAACAAGAAGUCACCUAUUCAUAUGUUAAGAUAAUGCAAGAUUCAUUGAGGAAUACAGCACAUAAACUACUCCAUUUAAUCAUUCUUUAAUUACUUUCAAAGGAAGCAUAAAACAAGAAGAUGAAUGCUUUUCAGAGUAUUUUCCACAAUCCUGAAUAGGCUUCAAAUGGAAUAAAAGUUGCCCAUUAAUAAUGAAAUGGAUACUUCUGUUGUUGCUUCUAGGGUAAAAGCACUCAUUGGAGUCACCCAGAUGCCAGAUGCCACCGUAACCUUGGCAACCAUCCCAGCCUGACUCUCUGGACAUGGCCUACAGUCAAUACCUCUCUCUCCUAACAAUAGGCAGGGACAACUCUACACCCAUUCUCAAUUCUGAAGAA
This 625-nucleotide long non-coding RNA is filed under the name Monodelphis domestica (gray short-tailed opossum). RNAcentral describes it as "lncRNA (ENSMODG00000041959.1)". Lineage: Eukaryota; Metazoa; Chordata; Mammalia; Didelphimorphia; Didelphidae. The record is from RNAcentral.